RNAcentral lists this small RNA (148 nucleotides) under Mariniflexile fucanivorans. Its description in RNAcentral is "Flavo-1 RNA". It matches the Rfam family "Flavo-1 RNA". The record is from Rfam by way of RNAcentral. Lineage: Bacteria; Pseudomonadati; Bacteroidota; Flavobacteriia; Flavobacteriales; Flavobacteriaceae.
GUUAAGCUGCCUUAGGGAUAGCAAUGGAAAUCCUUUUUAAAACUUGAUAGUAAAAAUUAAGGUUAGAACUAAAAAUUUGGCAGAUUGCUUCGUCCUUCGUACUCGCCAUGACGUUUUAAAAAGAUUGAAAUGGAUAGCCCGACCCGAU